This 24-nucleotide microRNA is filed under the name Manduca sexta (tobacco hornworm). RNAcentral's name for it is "mse-miR-10b". Its record names the gene mse-miR-10b. Lineage: Eukaryota; Metazoa; Arthropoda; Insecta; Lepidoptera; Sphingidae. The record is from miRBase by way of RNAcentral.
UACCCUGUAGAUCCGCGCCGUGAA